This 460-nucleotide ribosomal RNA is filed under the name uncultured bacterium. RNAcentral describes it as "partial 16S ribosomal RNA". It matches the Rfam family "Bacterial small subunit ribosomal RNA", at positions 338 to 795 of the family's 1533-position model. The record is from RNAcentral.
CCUACGGGAGGCAGCAGUGAGGAAUAUUGGUCAAUGGGCGUAAGCCUGAACCAGCCAAGUCGCGUGAGGGAUGAAGGUUCUAUGGAUCGUAAACCUCUUUUAUAAGGGAAUAAAGUGUGGGACGUGUCCUGUUUUGUAUGUACCUUAUGAAUAAGGAUCGGCUAACUCCGUGCCAGCAGCCGCGGUAAUACGGAGGGUCCGAGCGUUAUCCGGAUUUAUUGGGUUUAAAGGGUGAGUAGGCGGCCUUUUAAGUCAGCGGUGAAAGUCUGUGGCUCAACCAUAGAAUUGCCGUUGAAACUGGGAGGCUUGAGUAUGUUUGAGGCAGGCGGAAUGCGUGGUGUAGCGGUGAAAUGCUUAGAUAUCACGCGGAACCCCGAUUGCGAAGGCAGCCUGCCAAGCCAUGACUGACGCUGAUGCACGAAAGCGUGGGGAUCAAACAGGAUUAGAUACCCCUGUAGUC